RNAcentral lists this ribosomal RNA (301 nucleotides) under uncultured bacterium. RNAcentral's name for it is "partial 16S ribosomal RNA". It matches the Rfam family "Bacterial small subunit ribosomal RNA", at positions 509 to 809 of the family's 1533-position model. The record is from RNAcentral.
CAGUAGCCGCGGUAAUACAGAGGGUGCGAGCGUUAAUCGGAAUUACUGGGCGUAAAGCGCGCGUAGGUGGUUUGGUAAGAUGGAUGUGAAAUCCCCGGGCUCAACCUGGGAACUGCAUCCAUAACUGCCUGACUAGAGUACGGUAGAGGGUGGUGGAAUUUCCUGUGUAGCGGUGAAAUGCGUAGAUAUAGGAAGGAACACCAGUGGCGAAGGCGACCACCUGGACUGAUACUGACACUGAGGUGCGAAAGCGUGGGGAGCAAACAGGAUUAGAGACCCCUGUAGUCCCUGUCUCUUAUAA